GGAGGUGUAGCUCAGUGGUAGAGUAUGUAUUUAACAUGUUCAAGGCACUGGGUUCAAUCCCCAGCAGCACCA
Molecule: transfer RNA, 72 nt
Filed under: Heterocephalus glaber (naked mole-rat)
Lineage: Eukaryota; Metazoa; Chordata; Mammalia; Rodentia; Bathyergidae
Rfam family: tRNA
About the family: Transfer RNA (tRNA) molecules are approximately 80 nucleotides in length. Their secondary structure includes four short double-helical elements and three loops (D, anti-codon, and T loops).
Source: Rfam by way of RNAcentral